GUGAACGCUGGCGGUAGGCCUAACUCAUGCAAGUCGAACGGCAGCACAGUAAGUGCUUGCUCUUACGGGUGGCGAGUGUCGGUCGGGUGUGCAAUACAUCGGAAUCUACUUUUUCGUGGGGUAUAUCGUAGGGUAACUUACGCUAAUACCGCAUACGACCUACGGGUGAUAGCAGUGGAUCUUCGUACCUUGCGCUUUUGAUUGAGCCGAUGUCGGAUUAGCUAGUUGGCGUGGGAAAGGCCCACCAAGGCGACGAUCCGUAGCUGGUCUGAGAGGUUGAGCAGCAACACUGGAACUGAGACACGGUACAGACAACUACGGGAGGAAGCAGUGGGGAAUAUUGGACAAUGGGCGCAAGCCUGAUCCAGCAAUACCGCGUGGGUGAAGAAGGCCUUAGGGUUGUAAAGCCCUUUUGUUGGGAAAGAAAAGCAGCAGGUUAAUACACCGCUGUACUGACGGUAACCAAAGAAUAAGCACCGGCUAACUUCGUG
This 491-nucleotide ribosomal RNA is filed under the name uncultured bacterium. RNAcentral describes it as "partial 16S ribosomal RNA". It matches the Rfam family "Bacterial small subunit ribosomal RNA", at positions 29 to 507 of the family's 1533-position model. The record is from RNAcentral.